This 775-nucleotide ribosomal RNA is filed under the name uncultured Neocallimastigales. Its description in RNAcentral is "partial large subunit ribosomal RNA". It matches the Rfam family "Eukaryotic large subunit ribosomal RNA", at positions 23 to 616 of the family's 3401-position model. The record is from RNAcentral. Lineage: Eukaryota; Fungi; Neocallimastigomycota; Neocallimastigomycetes; Neocallimastigales.
AGAGAGAGACAUGCGCGCAUAUCAAUAAGCGGAGGAAAAGAAACUAACAAGGAUUCCCCUAGUAACGGCGAGUGAAGCGGGAAGAGCUCAAAUUUGAAAUCUUAAAGGGUUUCCCUUUACGAAUUGUAGUUUAAAGAAGUGUUUUCUGUUGAGGUUUUGGUAAAAGUUCUUUGGAAUAGGACAUCAUAGAGGGUGAGAAUCCCGUAUUUGACCUUUACUUUCAACUUUGUGAUACACUUUCAAAGAGUCGGAUUGUUUGGGAAUGCAGUCCAAAAUGGGUGGUAAAUUUCAUCUAAAGCUAAAUAUUGGCGAGAGACCGAUAGCGAACAAGUACCGUGAGGGAAAGAUGAAAAGAACUUUGAAAAGAGAGUUAAACAGUACGUGAAAUUGUCAAAAGGGAAGCGUUUGACACCAGUGUUGUUUUUCUGAAAAUCAAUUAAAGAACUGUUUAUGCUAAGUUGUUUAGACUUUAUCAGCUAACUGUUUAGUUUUGAGCUUUUCUUUAAUGCACUUUUCAGUUAACUAAGUCAACAUCAAUUUCUUUUGCUGUAAAAAAGCUUGAGGAAGGUGGCUUGAGAUUCGUCUUAAGUGUUUAUAGCCUCUUGCCUAUGCAGUCGGAGAGAUUGAGGUCUGCAGCGUAGAUCCUUCGGGGCUAAAUGCAUUUGUGCUAAGUUAUAGCAUUUUAUAGACAACUUGUUGACUAUGAUUUGUCUUGUAGCUUACUCGCUUAUGUUAUUUUACCUACGCUUAGGAUGUUGAGCGCAUGUCUCUCUCU